This 288-nucleotide long non-coding RNA is filed under the name Mytilus galloprovincialis (Mediterranean mussel). Lineage: Eukaryota; Metazoa; Mollusca; Bivalvia; Mytilida; Mytilidae. The record is from RNAcentral.
GAUGUAACGCGUCUUCUGAUUUGCUGACGUUAUUUUGUUAUGAGCCCAUCGACAAAAUUUAGUCAUGUGACCGUGACGUCGUCAACGUUUUUCAUGGUUUUCUACGGUUUAAAAUGGAAUUUAGAAUUAAAUUAUAAGAAAUGACUAAUAUUUUUUCUGUCUAUUCGAAAUAACAUAAAAAAUGUGUUGCACACUGUUAAAUAACCCGCUACGCGAGUUAUUCAGUGUGCACCAAAUUUGUUAUGUUAUUUCUUCAUAGACAGAAAAAAUAUUACAGUCAUUCCUUAA